This 479-nucleotide ribosomal RNA is filed under the name uncultured bacterium. RNAcentral describes it as "partial 16S ribosomal RNA". It matches the Rfam family "Bacterial small subunit ribosomal RNA", at positions 28 to 507 of the family's 1533-position model. The record is from RNAcentral.
GAUGAACGCUAGCGGGAGGCCUAACACAUGCAAGCCGAGCGGUAUUGUUUCUUCGGAAAUGAGAGAGCGGCGUACGGGUGCGUAACACGUGUGCAACCUGCCUUUAUCUGGGGGAUAGCCUUUCGAAAGGAAGAUUAAUACUCCAUAAUAUAUUGAACGGCAUCGUUUAAUUUUGAAAGCUCCGGCGGAUAGAGAUGGUCACGCGCAAGAUUAGCUAGUUGGUGAGGUAACGGCUCACCAAGGCGAUGAUCUUUAGGGUGCCUGAGAGGGUGAUCCCCCAGACUAGUACGGAGACACGGACCAGACUCCUACGGGAGGCAGCAGUGAGGAAUAUUAGUCAAUGGGUGCAAGCCUGAACCAGCCAUCCCGCGUGAAGGACGACUGCCCUAUGGGUUGUAAACUUCUUUUGUAUAGGGAUAAACCUACCCAAGAGAGGGUAGCUGAAGGUAGUAUACGAAUAAGCACCGGCUAGCUCCGUG